Molecule: ribosomal RNA, 497 nt
Filed under: uncultured bacterium
Lineage: Bacteria
Description: partial 16S ribosomal RNA
Rfam family: Bacterial small subunit ribosomal RNA
Source: RNAcentral
GAUGAACGCUGGCGGCGUGCCUAAUACAUGCAAGUCGAGCGAACAGACGAGGAGCUUGCUUCUCUGACGUUAGCGGCGGACGGGUGAGUAACACGUGGAUAACCUACCUAUAAGACUGGGAUACCUUCGGGACACCGGAGCUAAUACCGGAUAAUAUAUUGAACCGCCUGGUUCAAUAGUGAAAGACGGUUUUGCUGUCACUUAUAGAUGGAUCCGCGCCGCAUUAGCUAGUUGGUAAGGUAACGGCUUACCAAGGCAACGAUGCGUAGCCGACCUGAGAGGGUGAUCGGCCACACUGGAACGGGGACACGGUCCAGACUCCUACGGGAGGCAGCAGUAGGGAAUCUUCCGCAAUGGGCGAAAGCCUGACGGAGCAACGCCGCGUGAGUGAUGAAGGUCUUCGGAUCGUAAAACUCUGUUAUUAGGGAAGAACAAAUGUGUAAGUAACUAUGCACGUCUUGACGGUACCUAAUCAGAAAGCCACGGCUAACUACGUG